Molecule: transfer RNA, 27 nt
Filed under: Mannia fragrans
Lineage: Eukaryota; Viridiplantae; Streptophyta; Marchantiopsida; Marchantiales; Aytoniaceae
Also listed under: 1 other name
Description: partial tRNA-His
Source: RNAcentral
GGCGGACGUAGCCAAGUGGAUUAAGGC